UAGUUUGUGGGAUCUUGGAUGUUGAGUAUAUUUCACUAAAUCAAGUCAUUUUACUAGGUUAUCGAUUUUUGUGUAUUCGAUGAUUAACUAAAAUGAUGAUAAUUUGAAUUAAUUUUUUUUGCCUUAUUUAGAAUUUUAUAAAGAUUAAUCUCAAGAUUGCGUUUAUCUAUGUAUGAUUUAUUCAGAUUAGUACUAAAAAUAUCUUUUACCUAUUUUAG
This 218-nucleotide long non-coding RNA is filed under the name Lathyrus oleraceus (garden pea). Its description in RNAcentral is "Pisum sativum (pea) long non-coding RNA (PSAT_LNC016902)". Lineage: Eukaryota; Viridiplantae; Streptophyta; Magnoliopsida; Fabales; Fabaceae. The record is from RNAcentral.